GAGUCGUUGGCGGUAGGCGUAGGUUUGCACGUCGAACCGGGAACUUAGAAGCUUGCUCCUUGGGUGGCGAGUGGCGGACGGGUGAGGAAUACAUCGGAAUCUACUCUGUCGUGGGGGAUAACGUAGGGAAACUUACGCUAAUACCGCAUACGACCUACGGGUGAAAGCAGGGGAUCUUCGGACCUUGCGCGAUUGAAUGAGCCGAUGUCGGAUUAGCUAGUUGGCGGGGUAAAGGCCCACCAAGGCGACGAUCCGUAGCUGGUCUGAGAGGAUGAUCAGCCACACUGGAACUGAGACACGGUCCAGACUCCUACGGGAGGCAGCAGUGGGGAAUAUUGGACAAUGGGCGCAAGCCUGAUCCAGCCAUACCGCGUGGGUGAAGAAGGCCUUCGGGUUGUAAAGCCCUUUUGUUGGGAAAGAAAUCCAGCUGGCUAAUACCCGGUUGGGAUGACGGUACCCAAAGAAUAAGCACCGGCUAACUUCGUGCCAGCAGCCGCGGUAAUACGAAGGGUGCAAGCGUUACUCGGAAUUACUGGGCGUAAAGCGUGCGUAGGUGGUCGUUUAAGUCCGUUGUGAAAGCCCUGGGCUCAACCUGGGAACUGCAGUGGAUACUGGACGACUAGAGUGUGGUAGAGGGUAGCGGAAUUCCUGGUGUAGCAGUGAAAUGCGUAGAGAUCA
RNAcentral lists this ribosomal RNA (678 nucleotides) under Stenotrophomonas maltophilia. RNAcentral describes it as "bacterial SSU rRNA". It matches the Rfam family "Bacterial small subunit ribosomal RNA", at positions 26 to 699 of the family's 1533-position model. The record is from RNAcentral. Lineage: Bacteria; Pseudomonadati; Pseudomonadota; Gammaproteobacteria; Lysobacterales; Lysobacteraceae.